AUAAAAACACGCGCUUUUCUCAGUCAAUAUUCUUUCUGACGCUUCAAAAAGGAACGCCACCGCACCUCAAAGCUGCUUCAAAAGUAUCUCUCGUUAAUAUGGCGUCUUCAUCAUCAUCAUCUGCAGCUCUGAAACGAAUAUCGAAUCUGAGCAACCAUCUUCGCCCAAGAAACUCAAACGCUUUAGUCAAAGUAUCUGCAGAAGUCUCUGAUGCUUUGUCAAGUGGCCACCCUGUUGUUGCUCUUGAGUCCACCAUCAUUUCCCAUGGAAUGCCGUAUCCUCAGAAUUUGGAAACAGCGAGGGAGGUGGAGGCGAUUGUGAGGGAGAACGGAGCUGUGCCUGCUACCAUCGCUAUUCUUGAUGGCAUACCAUGCGUAGGUUUGACUUUGGAACAACUGGAAAAGCUAGCCAAAUUGGGAAAAAGUGCUCAAAAGUCUGCUCGCAGGGACAUUGCACAUGUUGUGGCCACCAAGAGGAAUGGUGCAACUACUGUUUCUGCAACCAUGUUUUUUGCUGCCAUGGUUGGUAUCCCUGUCUUUGUUACUGGGGGAAUUGGGGGAGUGCAUAGAAAUGGCGAGCAUACAAUGGAUAUAUCCUCUGAUCUCACAGAGCUUGGAAGGACACCAGUAGCAGUCGUCUCUGCUGGUGUAAAAUCAAUAUUAGAUAUUCCAAGGACACUGGAAUAUUUGGAAACUCAGGGAGUUUGUGUUGCUGCUUAUAAGACCUAUGAGUUUCCAGCUUUUUUUACUGAAACAAGUGGCUGCAAGGUUCCUUGUCGUGUAGAUAGCCCAGAAGAAUGUGCACGGUUAAUUGAUGCAAAUAGGAAACUUAAUCUUGGAAAUGGAGUAUUGAUUGCAGCUCCCAUCCCGAAAGAACACUCAGCUUCUGGAAGCUUAAUAGAGUCUGCAAUACAACGUGCCCUUACAGAAGCUAGGGAAAAGAACAUAACAGGGAAUGCUGAGACUCCUUUCUUGCUUGCAAGAGUUAGUGAAUUAACUGGAGGAGCAUCACUUGCUUCAAGUAUCCUUAAGAGAUGACUAAUACUCAUAUUUUGUUUAAUAUGAAGGGACUUUCUGUCGUGUGGCAUCGCACACACCGUUAUGCGAGCUGAUAUGAAGUCUAUACAGAGAGGCCAAUGCUCUCUGAUCCUGCAACCAUUCACCUAGCAAGUUGGAUUGUCUCAGUUACAUUGGUUUGCGGCUUUCAUUUUUGGUACAUGGUCAAAUGGAUUAAUACUGACAAUGAAUAGUACUCUUAUGUACUUUAUUUAACCUUAUAAUUUGUUUAAUUGGAGCCACUGGUAUUAGGGUUGUACUUUGAAGAGCAGGUUUCUAAUAGAAGGGGCAAAGACCUUUACUUUAAAGUGUGUUUGAUUGGAGGGAAAGGGGAAGGAAAAUGUGUGGAAGGAAAAAUUACUUUCUACCAUUUUCGUCAUUUGGUAGGAAGGAAAUAGGAAGAUAGAAUGAAAAUGAGUGGCACACUCUUACUUUUCUCUAAAUUCAAUAUUUUCAAAUAUGAGAGAAAAAAAUUUUAUUUUUAUUUUUACUCUUUCCUUGUGUUUUUUAUCUUUCGUAGCAAACACAAUAAAAGAAAAUUAACUUUCCUUUCUUUUUUUCCUUACCUAUUUUCCUUCCCUUCAUUUUGCUUUCCUUCAUACCAAACAGUAUUAGUGAUUAGCCAGAUGAUAUUGUAGCCAUUGUAAAUUCAUAGAAAUCUUCCUCCGGAUUUUACAUCACGCCAUAACGACGAUGCACAAACAAUAAUCAAAAGAGUUCAACUCUUAAUUCUAAUAAUCAAAAUUUAAUCUCGAGCAGCUUUGAUUCUAAUAAUCAAAAUUUAAUCUCCAACAGCUUUAAGUGAAAAAAGAUUGCAUUGUUUUUGAAAUUUAGAAAAGAUCUCCCCCUUCAACUCGAAGAAACCAGUAAGGGGCAGGAGAUUUUGUGGGCGAAUGAAUGGCAAACAACUUUUUCCAUUCCUCAAUCAUAUUGCUGACAAAACCUAGGACAGAUUUGAAGUGUGGAACUGUGGACAAAAGCAACUGUCCUCAGGUUGCAUACUUUUGACGCCAACACUCUAAAAUGGGACACCAUAAACACAUGUUAAAGAGCUGGAGCCACCUUUUUUUUUAUUGUUUUGGGGGAUGGUGCGUUUACUUAGCUGGACCAUUUCAAAGACAAAGUAUCUUAGUCCUGUUUCUAGUGUCUUUCCU
This is an RNA transcript of Durio zibethinus, 2209 nucleotides long. It is a transcript of the gene named pseudouridine-5'-phosphate glycosidase-like, with no coding region annotated. NCBI's taxonomy places the organism in Eukaryota, Viridiplantae, Streptophyta, Magnoliopsida, Malvales, Malvaceae. The record is from RefSeq and is a predicted model, not a curated record.